CCAUGCGCACACAUGCAAGUCGAACGAAGGCUUCGGCAGUGGCGGACGGGUGAGUAACACGUGGGAACGUGCCCUUGGGUUCGGGAUAACGCUGGAAACGGACGCUAAUACCGGAUGCCCCCUGCGCCCGAAAGAUUUAUCGUGAGGAGCGCCCGCGUCUGAAAUUUAGGUAGUUGGGGGUAAUGGCCUACCAAGCCGACGAUCAGUAGGGUCUGAGAGGAUGAUCAGCCACACUGGGACUGAGACACCCCAGACUCCUACGGGAGGCAGCAGUGGGGAAUCGCAUUGGACAAUGGGCGAAGCUGAUCCAGCCUGCCGCGUGAGUGAUGAAGGCUUCGGGUUGUAAAGCUCUUUCGCACGCGACGAUGAUGACGUAGCGUGAGAAGAAGCCCCGGCUAACUUCGUGCCAGCAGCCGCGGUAUCGAUACGAAGGGGCUAGCGUUGUUCGGAAUUACUGGGCGUAAAGGGCGCGUAGGCGGCCU
Molecule: ribosomal RNA, 482 nt
Filed under: uncultured Rhodocista sp.
Lineage: Bacteria; Pseudomonadati; Pseudomonadota; Alphaproteobacteria; Rhodospirillales; Azospirillaceae
Description: bacterial SSU rRNA
Rfam family: Bacterial small subunit ribosomal RNA
Source: RNAcentral